GAAACCUUUAGGCAUGAUUUAGGACUUUAUUUCUUUUCUCUAAUUGUUUGUAAUAAUAUGCUUUGAUGUAAAUAUGGUUAUGCAUGUAAUUGACUUAGUAAUAUGCGAAUAGGGCAAGACAGUAAGCAUGAUAAAUAAUUCUAAAUUAGGAACUUUGGCAUGCGUAGGAUGAAAUAAAUGCAUAUGUACUUGUUUGAUUCCUAUUUGUACCAACCUCCAUGUGUAACUUCUGAUUAAAAA
Molecule: unclassified non-coding RNA, 240 nt
Filed under: Hevea brasiliensis (rubber tree)
Lineage: Eukaryota; Viridiplantae; Streptophyta; Magnoliopsida; Malpighiales; Euphorbiaceae
Source: RNAcentral